This is a non-coding RNA of Nemania sp. FL0031, 129 nucleotides long. The record is from the annotation of a GenBank genome assembly. NCBI's taxonomy places the organism in Eukaryota, Fungi, Ascomycota, Sordariomycetes, Xylariales, Xylariaceae.
GCCCGGUUAGCUCAAUCGGUAGAGCGUGAGACUCUUAAUCUCAAGGUUGCGGGUGAGUAGCUAUGCAUUCAUGCAGACACAAAAAUAAAUACUAAUCUACUAUCACAGGUUCGACCCCCGCAUCGGGCU